GACGAACGCUGGCGGCGUGCUUAACACAUGCAAGUCGAACGAUGAAGCCGCUUCGGUGGUGGAUUAGUGGCGAACGGGUGAGUAACACGUGGGCAAUCUGCCCUGCACUCUGGGACAAGCCCUGGAAACGGGGUCUAAUACCGGAUACGACCAUCGGCCGCAUGGCCUGGUGGGGGAAAGCUCUGGUGGUGCAGGAUGAGCCCGCGGCCUCUCAGCUUGUUGGUGGGGUGAUGGCCUACCAAGGCGACGACGGGUAGCCGGCCUGAGGGGGCGACCGGCCACGAUGGGACUGAGACACGGCCCAGACUCCUACGGGAGGCAGCGGUGGGGAAUAUUGCACAAUGGGCGCAAGCCUGAUGCAGCGACGCCGCGUGAGUGAUGACGGCCUUCGGGUUGUAAACCUCUUUCAGCAGGGAAGAAGCUUUCGGGUGACGGUACCUGCAGAAGAAGCACCGGCUAACUACGUGCCAGCAGCCGCGGUAA
RNAcentral lists this ribosomal RNA (483 nucleotides) under uncultured bacterium. RNAcentral's name for it is "partial 16S ribosomal RNA". It matches the Rfam family "Bacterial small subunit ribosomal RNA", at positions 28 to 523 of the family's 1533-position model. The record is from RNAcentral.